This 920-nucleotide long non-coding RNA is filed under the name Marmota monax (woodchuck). The record is from RNAcentral. Lineage: Eukaryota; Metazoa; Chordata; Mammalia; Rodentia; Sciuridae.
CUGUGAAACAGAGUAGGAUGGACAUGUGGGAGAAAGGGAUGGCUUAAGGGUGGUCAGAGCCUAGAAGCAGAGAAUGGGGCUAUGAACUCUGGGAGCAGCAAGACAGAGUUCAAAUCCCAGCAUUACAGUCCCCCCCACAAUUUUUGUUGGUGCAUUAUAGUUUUUUAUAAUGAUGGGAUUUGUUCUUAUAUAUUUGUACAUGCACAUAAUAUAAAAAUAUAAUUUUGGCCAAUGUCACUCCCCUGCAUUUCCCCCUCCCUUUCCUCCUUCUACCUCCUAGUCUCUUUCCUCUAUUCUUCUGAUCUCCCUUUGAUUUACAUGAGAAGCCCUCCCCACACACACACACACCUAUCUUUUCUUUCUCUAGCUUCCACACAUGAGAGAAAACAUACGACCCUUGACCUCUUAGUUUGGCUUAAUUCUGCAGGUGCAACACUAUCAGGGAGUGGAAGGCCCCUGCUUUCCUCCCUGGAAUCCCCUGGCCUCAUGUGGGGUCUUAUAGCUGAAGCGGGUCUGACCCCCCUCUUCCAUAUGUACAAUGGGAGUGACAAAUGACUUAAUGUCCAGAAGAAAUUAAACUACUUGUUUCACUUGUUAAUGGUAUUGUUUUCCUCUGAAAUAUGCCCCUGUAGAGCAGUUGCCUUUGGACAAAGACUCAAAGCUGUUCAUCCAGAAUUUUGGAUUAUUUCACUUAACAUAAUGGUUCCAUCUACUUUCCUGAAAAUGACAAAAUUUCAUUUGUCUUUAUGGCUGAAUAAAAUUCCAUGAUGUAUAUAGACCACAUUUUCUUUAUCCAUUCAUCUGUUGAUAGGCACCAGGGCUGGUUUCAUAGUUUGGCUAUUGUGAAUUUCCAGCACUACUCUUCUUUCUAGCUAUGUAACCUUGGGCAGGUGUCUUAACCUUUUUGGGUGUCAGUUUCU